UACGUAGGUGGCGAGCGUUAUCCGGAUUUACUGGGCGUAAAGCGAGCGCAGGCGGAUUUGCACGUCUGGUGUUAAAGAUAGAUGCCUAACAUUUAUAUGCAUUGGAAACUGCAAGUCUAGAGUGUAGUAGAGAGUUUUGGAACUCCAUGUGGAGCGGUGGAAUGCGUAGAUAUAUGGAAGAACACCAGAGGCGAAGGCGAAAACUUAGGCUAUUACUGACGCUCAGGUGCGAAAGCGUGGGGAGCAAACAGG
RNAcentral lists this ribosomal RNA (252 nucleotides) under uncultured bacterium. RNAcentral's name for it is "partial 16S ribosomal RNA". It matches the Rfam family "Bacterial small subunit ribosomal RNA", at positions 524 to 776 of the family's 1533-position model. The record is from RNAcentral.